RNAcentral lists this long non-coding RNA (291 nucleotides) under Homo sapiens (human). Its description in RNAcentral is "non-protein coding lnc-SPIDR-9:1". The record is from RNAcentral. Lineage: Eukaryota; Metazoa; Chordata; Mammalia; Primates; Hominidae.
CUGCAGGGUACACUAGGAGCCUCCCAAGGAGGCCUCUCCUAUCCCAGAAGAUCCCAGGGGUGUCAUAGGCAGGCUCUAAAGUCCCAGGGUUUGGAGCAUGUGGUCGGUGUCUCUCACGGAAGGCCCCCACAUGCAAAAACGGGACGUCAAGGUGGCAUGGGUCAGCCGAAGGGACUCAAGGAAUCAUUGAGGCAGGCAGAGGGGAGAAGCAGCGGGACUGCAGGGGAUGCUGGUAGCCUCCCAAGGACGACUCUCCCAUAACAGAAGUCCCCAGGGGUGUUCUGGGCAGGC